This 729-nucleotide ribosomal RNA is filed under the name Candidatus Tremblayella phenacoccinincola. RNAcentral's name for it is "bacterial SSU rRNA". It matches the Rfam family "Bacterial small subunit ribosomal RNA", at positions 658 to 1382 of the family's 1533-position model. The record is from RNAcentral. Lineage: Bacteria; Pseudomonadati; Pseudomonadota; Betaproteobacteria.
GGGAUAGAAUUCCAGGAGUAGCGGUGAAAUGCGUAGACAUCUGGAGGAAUACCAAAGGCGAAGGCAGUCCCCUGGUCCGAUACUGACACUGAGGUACGAAAGCGUGGGGAGCAAACAGGAUUAGAUACCCUGGUAGUCCACGCCCUAAACGAUGUCGAUUAGCCAUUGGAAGGACCCCUUUUCCUUUCAGUGGCGUAGCUAACGCGUUAAAUCGACCGCCUGGGAAGUACGACCGCAAGGUUAAAACUCAAAGGAAUUGACGGGGACCUGAACAAGCGGUGAAUGAUGUGGAUUAAUUCGAUGCUACGCGAAGAACCUUACCUACCUUUGACAUGGCCAAAGUUCUACCGAGAGGCGGAAGUACUCGUAAGAGGAUUGGCGCACAGGUGCUGCAUGGUUGUCGUCAGUUCGUGUCGUGAGAUGUUGGGUUCUGUCCCGCAACGAACGCAACCCUUAUCUUUAAUUGCUCCUAUUUUAACAGGCACUUUAAAGAAACUGCCAAUGAUAAGUUGGAGGAAGGUGGGGAUCACGUCAAGUCCGCAUGGCCUUUAUAGGUAGGGCUUCACACGUCAUACAAUGGUUAGAACAAAGAGCUGCAAAUUCGUAAGAAGGAGCCAAUCUCACAAACCUAACCUCAGUUCGAAUUGCGGUCUGCAACUCGAGCGCAUGAAGCCGGAAUCGCUAGUAAUCGUGGAUCAGAAUGCCACGGUGAAUACGUUCUUAGGUCUU